RNAcentral lists this transfer RNA (71 nucleotides) under Pseudomonadota bacterium. RNAcentral describes it as "tRNA-Gln". It matches the Rfam family "tRNA". From Rfam's summary of the family: Transfer RNA (tRNA) molecules are approximately 80 nucleotides in length. Their secondary structure includes four short double-helical elements and three loops (D, anti-codon, and T loops). RNAcentral also lists the same sequence under 1 other name. The record is from RNAcentral. Lineage: Bacteria; Pseudomonadati; Pseudomonadota.
UCCCAGGUAGUGAAAUGGCAUCACAACAGGUUCUGGCCCUGUUAUUUAAGGUUCGAAUCCUUACCUGGGAU